This 68-nucleotide ribosomal RNA is filed under the name uncultured bacterium. Its description in RNAcentral is "partial 16S ribosomal RNA". The record is from RNAcentral.
CAACACCCGAAGCCAGUGGCCAACCUUUGGAGGGAGCUAGUCGAAGGUCGGGGUUGGCGAUUGGGGUG